UGUCUGGAGGGAACAGGGGAAGCAGAAGCAGGACCACAUCCGGCUCCUCCACGCUCUCCUUGUGUGGUCUCGGACACGUCGCUCUGCGCUUCUGAGACUCAGCUCCCUUGUCUCCGAGGAGAGCCGGCCGUAUCCACUUGGUCAGGCCCCUGGGAGGGCUGCAGGGCGGCUCGGAGGGCCCUUGGUGCUGAGGUCGCCCCCAGCAGGUGUCUACUAGUAGUCCCCCUGACCCUCUUGUCCUUAUUCAGGGAUGAAGAUGGGGACGAUGAUGGUGGUCGGGAGGAGGCUGGUGCUGUCGGUGGAGGCUCCGGAGAGAAAAAGAUGCAGAGAAGCCCUACGAUGGAUCGUGGAGACAGAAUAAAUACAGACUACAGUCUCAGUCUGAGGGAGUUUCAAGGCUCCAAAGCCCAUCCACAGGAAACAGCAAACUCUGUGAGAAAGUCUGGAAAUAGGCCAUGCAGUUAUCGUCAAGAUAACCAAGCCGACGGGAACAAGAUGAGGAAGCCACAUCUGUGGGGAGGGACUCAAACCUCUAUCGCCUGACACCCAGACCCCUUUUCUGUUGCCUAUUUGUUACAUAAGCUGCCAAAUAUCUUCUCUGCUUCCAGAAGUGUGCUUUGUUAAUUGAGAAGCACGGGAAUUCUGUGUGUUUAAUUCUUGAGGUUAUCAGGAGACUGAAGCCUGAAGUCAUCCCACAACCUUGGACGAUAAGGUGAAAACUGUCCUCUUGGAUAAAUGACAGCGGAAGGAUCCUUCCACUAAACAGGCCCUCUGUAAAUAUAAAACAGUUGCUGGAAAAUUAUAUUAGAGAUGAAUUAUCUCCUCCAUUACAGUGUUUCCUUUUCUUUAAUGCAAUUUAGUUCAAGCUAGAGGAACAGAAAGUCUGGGGAGCCGCAUUUCAGGGCUUCGGGAGAGUUACUGGAAGCGAAGACGGCUGGCGAGGAAGGAGAUUCAGAGAUCUGGGGCAGGUUGAGCCGAGGCCUUGUGCCCACGAGGCCUGCGCUUAGGACCCUGGCUGUGCCCACGGGAAAUUGAAUUUUGAGCUCCUUCUGCAUCAUAAAUCCAGGGCAGCUGGCAGCUCUCCAAAGGAGGCUGGAGAGACACUGCGAGAGCAUCUGAGGCCAGCCGGCCCAGCCAGCCCCUGCGGAGCCCGCUGAGGGUGGGCCCCAGGUGUGCAGGUUUGGGGUUCGGGUCCAGCCUGUCACUUUGUUAAUUGUAAAGUGCGCUCAUCGCCAGCAAAGGGGCGCCUCCAUUAUCCACCAGAAAGCUGAAAGGCUGGAAUUGCUCGGAAACGCCUUGGGGCCGACGGGGGACGGGCCGACUUUUGAAGGCGUGCGUCUCCUGAGCACGUGCGAGGAGGACCCUCGGCGCCGGGGGUCUGUAGAAGUGGCAUCCGCCGCCCGGGACCCCGCCAGCGUCUCCAGGCCCCGCGAAGGCAGGGGGCCGAGCAGGGGUCGUCGCGCCGCGGGCCCCCAAGGGUAGCAUCUCAG
Molecule: long non-coding RNA, 1490 nt
Organism: Mustela lutreola (European mink)
Lineage: Eukaryota; Metazoa; Chordata; Mammalia; Carnivora; Mustelidae
Exons: 3
Source: RefSeq, a predicted model, not a curated record